UGUAGUCAUAUGCUUGUCUCAAAGAUUAAGCCAUGCAUGUCUAAGUAUAAGCAAUUAUACCGUGAAACUGCGAAUGGCUCAUUAAAUCAGUUAUCGUUUAUUUGAUAGUACCUUACUACAUGGAUAACCGUGGUAAUUCUAGAGCUAAUACAUGCUAAAAACCUCGACUUCGGAAGGGGUGUAUUUAUUAGAUAAAAAACCAAUGCCCUCCGGGGCUCCUUGGUGAUUCAUAAUAACUUCUCAGAUCGCAUGGCCUUGCGCCGGCGACGGUUCAUUCAAAUUUCUGCCCUAUCAACUCUCGAUGGUAAGGUAUUGGCUUACCAUGGUUUCAACGGGUAACGGGGAAUUAGGGUUCGAUUCCGGAGAGGGAGCCUGAGAAACGGCUACCACAUCCAAGGAAGGCAGCAGGCGCGCAAAUUACCCAAUCCCGAUACGGGGAGGUAGUGACAAUAAAUACUGAUACAGGGCUCUUUAGGGUCUUGUAAUUGGAAUGAGUACAAUUUAAACCUCUUAACGAGGAACAAUUGGAGGGCAAGUCUGGUAAUCG
This 547-nucleotide ribosomal RNA is filed under the name uncultured eukaryote. RNAcentral's name for it is "SSU rRNA". It matches the Rfam family "Eukaryotic small subunit ribosomal RNA", at positions 21 to 570 of the family's 1831-position model. The record is from RNAcentral.